MicroRNA precursor from Equus caballus (horse), 135 nucleotides. NCBI's taxonomy places the organism in Eukaryota, Metazoa, Chordata, Mammalia, Perissodactyla, Equidae. The record is from Ensembl.
UAAGCAGGUCCCCGUGUGGGACCAGCGUGCGUCUUCCGUCGCUGUUCCUCUGCUCAAGAAGCGCGCGCGCGCGCGCGCGCCUUCUCAGAGGUACAGGAUCUUGUGAGCUUCCUCAGGGAGGACUCUGCUUCCCGA